Molecule: long non-coding RNA, 4818 nt
Organism: Lemur catta (Ring-tailed lemur)
Lineage: Eukaryota; Metazoa; Chordata; Mammalia; Primates; Lemuridae
Exons: 4
Source: RefSeq, a predicted model, not a curated record
GAAAACGUGAAGAGAAGUUCUGCAAGGUCAUGGUCAAAUUAAAGAAGUUGUGUUCAAAACAGAAAGCAUAAUGUCACUACUCACGACUACAAGAGACCAGUGUGUAACUAUCUGAGUGCUCAUCUGGAUACUUCAUUAGGAUCCCAAGACAUCUGGGGAGCAGCAAUGGAAGGAAGGAAAGAACCCUGCGUGUGUCGAGUGCCUGUUACGUGCUCGCGUUGCGCUAAGCCCUUUCCCAUAUGUUAUCCCAUGUAAUCCCCCCAAAACCCUGCCGGAGUGGAAUUAUUCUUCCCGUUUCACAAAUGAGAAAACAGUAGCUCAGAGAUGCUAAGUUACUUGCCCAGGGUCCCGUAGACGGCAAGCCAGUAGUUGCGGAAUCUGAAUCAAGAGAAUGACAUCAUUGAGGGGCGGUUUGGGGGGUGGCUUUAGUUGCAGCCCUCAUCUCUAGCAGCCCUCUUCCCUACAAUUACUGUAAAACAAACACGCAAUCUGAACAGGAAGAGCCUGCAGGAGAUAAAAUGAAAAUGCAAUCCCCUGCCAUUGCGCUUUCAGUGAGGUGACUGCCCCCAACCCUGUCUACACGGGUCUCCCAGAGUCCACACUAAAUCAAUAUAUUUGGCUCCAAAGACCACGUUCUUCCCAACACCGCCAGGAUGCCUCCUCUCUCAGACCCCUACCAGGAAGACGUUCAUUGGCUCGAAGCUCCUACUAGGCAGAGCCAAUCAAUCCAUGUAGAAUUCCCCUAGUGGCACCUGGCACCAUAGAUCUCAAAAUGUCACCAGCCUGCUCAAAGCCACCAGCCCUUUAAAUGCCCCGCACAUCCCAGGGUACAGUGAUGCGUCGUAGCAUGGCAGGUAAGCAGCACUAGGUUGAAGAAGCACAGGGCUCACGGUGUGGAUUGAGUUUCAAUUUACUUGAAACCUCUGUGGGCCGACGUUCAGUUCAUUUUAGGUUCCAGCUAAUUUUUUCCAAGCUCUAAAUGUGGAGACCAGAGGUGGUUAAUGUGGCUGUCGUGACACAGGCUGGUCCCUCAGGGCCACUCUAGCCUCCUCCUUGGAAAUGUGCCGUGGAUGUGGGCGUGGGGUUCCCAUCAGCCAGGGACUCGUAGUCUAGGUGGAAAUUGGUUUUCAGAGACCAAUGGUCACAAGUAAACAUCUUGUGAGUAAACCAGCUAAGAGUCCAGGAAUUCAGUGUCAUAAAUAGGUAUAAACACCUUUUACUUUCUCCCUCCCUUCCUCGGGUGGUUUACAUACCACCAACGGUUUACAUUGCUGGGUCUCCGUGUGAUGUCACAGCAUUUGGACACAGAGGGUCACAUUCUGAUCCUCACAAGCACAGUGUUGCUACCCCUGUUUUAUAGGUGAGGAAUUGGAGACACCAGAAUGUUCAGGGCUUCACCCAAAGUCCCAGAGCUGGUGAGUCGUGAAAAGGAGGGUCUCAGCCUUCAGUUUCAGGCAAAGAAAAGGGCUCACGGGCCCUUGGAGGGGCUGCGUCAGUUUCGCUGUCCUGGAAGGCCGUCCUGGCUGGACAAGAGCACGGUGGCCCCGAGUUCAGCCUCAUGCUCCUUGGUAACCACGCACCGUCCCACAAAGACACCACUAGCUCCUGGGGAGGGAGGUGUGUUCCAGGCACGGUGUCACCUCCAGACACCAGGGUUUCGGGCUUCUUCUGGUGACGCAUGCAAGGGUCGUCUGAAGGUGCCUGGUCAGUCAUCGUGAAGUCGGGGUGACCAAAGCAGAGCAAGAGAGACAGUGCCUCGGCAAAGCAGUGGUCCCUGUCAGCCUCUGAACCACCAACAUCCCCAAGCUACCGUCCCUACGACUCAGAGCCUGAGAAGACAGCCAUGGCCGGUGGUGUUCCGGGAAAGCAGGAAAUUUGGACAAGUGGAAUCUCUACAGAUGCAAAUCUCCGCCACGAAAGACAGCUUUGCAGGACGACUUCUGUUUGCUGGCUCUCCCAACAGCCAGCUCAAAAUAUGUCAGAGAAGUAUAUUUUCGGGUGAAAUAUUUUGAUUCCCUUCAGUGCAAUCUGUGAUCUCAGGGGCUGACGGCAGAGACGGUACCUGAAGGCAAGGUAAACAGUUGUCUCCCACAAGCAGAGGCUACCUGGCCCCCCAAGGACGUAGAAGGGCCCCCCAGUUCCUGCACCUCUCGCUGCCUGGGCAGAUGGCCCUGGGCGAGUGCAGCCUCUCCAGGCCUUUCCCGUGUCUACUCUUCACCCCCAGGAGCUCUGCUCCUUGAGAUAAGACCCCCUCUUCCCUCUACCCAAUGGGGUGUUCUUCUGAUCUCAAAAUUCUUUCACUUCUAGGGCUUGACAUACAGCGGGUUCUCGAAUAUUCAGUGAGUGAAUGAACCAAUAUCUCACAUCACACCCAUAAGAUUCGGUGGGGCAGGUGUUGUUAUCACUUCUCUGAGGAAGGGUGAUGAGCUCAUGGUCUUAGAGUUGGGAGUCAACCUGAGACAUCUGCUUUCUGCUCCCGCCCCCGGCUGUCCCCUGCCUCCCCUGCUACCAGCUCGAAGCAUCGUUGGGGUCCGUAAGGAACCGAUGCUUUCCUGUGUGGCCUGGCCCCGAGGUGCCCGCCACCCCAAGUUGAGACGCACCCCGAUUGUGAGAGGCGGGAAUUCCGGGGACUGCUCCCCGCGUGUUCUGCGCGAGUGAUCGUGGGCUCCCCUCGCCAACAAGUGGCACUAAAUGUUUCUUGCAGAAGGGGUGACAGGUUGUGGUCCUGGCUCUGUGCCCGAGAGGCCCCCUGAGAGCACAGGGAACUACCUGGGACAUUUUCUCAGAAUUGCUCCCGGGGUGAGAGGCGGGCUCCUGGGAACCGCAUGCGGCCGCCCUGCCCUUCAGGGUGAAGUUCAACUUCCGGAGCCGGUGUCAGCCCUAGUCGCUCACCUCCCUUCCUCGCUCCCUGCCGGGCCUGGCCCCCACACCGUCUCAGCACCGUCUCCGCCCUCCCCACGCCUCGUCCCCCACGGAGGCAGCCCCCGCCCCCACUGGGAGUGGUCCCCUCUUUCCAAACACGCGGCCUGCGUUUCGGGGUCUCCUGCAAACUGGAACGCGGGAUUGGCAAGAUCCUGACGUGGGUUUCCUCUUUCGUUUGCAGUUAGAAACCGUGACCACAAAAGCGACGUCCACAGCUCACUGUAAUAGGCACUUGCGUAAUAGAGUUGGGGACAGUGUUUGGGGGAACAGGAUGGGGCAGCUCUGUCUUUCCAACACUUGCGGGAUUCAUUCUGGUGUGGUAAGAAAGCCUUGCCCGGCCCUAUGAGAGAGAAGAAGGUAUUUCCUGGGAGGGAAAGCAACGCAGACACUUGCCUUUCUUCCUUCCCUGUGCUGGCUCCUAUGCACCCCGCCCCCUCCGCUGAAGGGACAGUUGUUGCAUCUUUAGCUGCCUUUGCUUUGCAAGAUGUGCCGCAUUGAUUCGCCUUAGUGUCAGGGUGAAGCACUGAGACCCUGGUCAGAGGUCAGAGUGCAAGUGUUCAAAUCCCAGCUGCAUCACCCACCAGCUUCGUAACCUGCCUCAGUUUCCUCAUCUGCAAAACGGGGAUAAUAAUAGGCCUUAACUCAUAAAUGGGGAUAAUAAUACCUACCUCAUAUUGUAAGGAUUGAAUGAGUUACUAUACAUAAAGCUCUUAAAAUCGUGCUUAGCACUGUGUUUGCCGUUGUCACGAUCUACUCGGACUCUCUGUUCGGCUCCACUUUGCACAGCUGGCUGUGGACAUUUGAGAUUGCCAAGUGCUCAGUGGCCCGACAGGCUGCUUCGCCUGCAGUGUGUGUACACGGGGCCGUCUUCCUUUUCUGGACCUGAGCAACAUCUCCCAGGUCUGCGCACUCCAGGGGUGGAUGCAGCGUCUUCGCCGCUCCUGAGGGAGAGGCUUUUAGCAAACGGGAACAGACUCCUGACACCCUCGUGGCCCCAUGUGAUAACAUCCUUUCCACUCGCAGAGAACAGCAGCAAGAUGAUUUCCACGCACUCACUGUCACCGGCCUUGUAAUGCCAUGGCCUCAGCUGAGCAUGCAAGGCUGGCGUGUUUCUGGCUCCUCCAAACUCUUAGCUGGAAGCUCAACUUCAUGUGGUCAAGACUUGGACGGUGUUAAGACCGGCAGGAUGAACAGAAUGUUAUGACUCAUCUUUUCCUGCUGUGCAGGGCCUUUGACAUAACACACGGGGCCGUUCUCUCCGUAGGAGGAUGAUGGGGGACAAGGGGCCAGAAGGCACUUUGCCUUUACUUUUUGUCCAUGGUACCUGGAGGGCAAUGUCCCUGCAUUUUUCUAAUCCGAUUAGUUGAGAAUCUGCAGCCUGGGCCAGAGGGCUGGAUUCUAACCCCAUCUCGGCAUGCUGCCAACCACACACUCUGCACAUUUUGCACAUCUGCACAGUGGAGCUGGUGACAGUGCCUACCUCAGGGAACUGUCACGAGGAUUAAAUGAGUUAGUGCACAGGAAGGCUUUACAACAAUGCCUGAAAGACAGUAAAUGUGUACCAUUAAUUACAUUAUUAUUUGACUAUAUUUCUGCUGUACAGAGCUGCCGUUGCCCGGUCAUAUGUUCUAACAAAUAAACGGUUCUGACAGCCAGGGAACUGUCUUGGUGUUUGAUGGGACUCAGGGACAAAGGACACCACAGACCCUCAACAGAAUGAUGGCCCCCAAAGACUCCCAGAUCCCAACCACCAGAACCUGGGACAUAGGUUAUAUGGCGAAGGGAUGUGAAGGCUGCAGAAGGAAUUACAGAUGCUCGUUGGGAAACCUUAGACAGGGAGAUGAGCCUGGCUUCUCAGGGUGGACCCGAUGCGGUCACAGGAUGCUGAAAAGUGGA